UGUCAAUCAGGCUAGAGUGUCUCGUACCUCCGGCACUCUGUAAAUUUAACCAGCGCCGCUGAAAAAGCUUAUUAGGAGUCGGCUGUUCAGUUUCUCUGCUUUGUUGAUUGGUCCGACCACCUUCAGGUGAAAGGCAGGAUUAAGGUGGCCAUUCUUCCCUUUCUCCACCGAUGCCUCCGUCCUGAGCAGAAAAAUGAGGACAAGCAAAAAAUAAAACAGAAUCUGACGCCUGAAA
This is a long non-coding RNA of Micropterus dolomieu (smallmouth bass), 235 nucleotides long. RefSeq lists it as uncharacterized. Lineage: Eukaryota; Metazoa; Chordata; Actinopteri; Centrarchiformes; Centrarchidae. The transcript has 2 exons. The record is from RefSeq and is a predicted model, not a curated record.